AACACUGUUUGGCAGUCAUUGAACGCAUCACAGUGCCGUGAGCAAAGGCCUAGUCCAACUGCAGAAUUUCUUCUUUUCCUCCCGUCGAUCUGGUGAGAUGCAUGCUGUUCUGGUGCCCUCUGCGAUCUGGAAACCUGGAGAGAGAAAUCAUGAAGCGGUACGGGCUGAGCCGAGUCCGACAAGCAUCCGCCAUUACACCAACUCCUCUGCAUCCGGGUGUGUGUAGGCUGGUUUUUCCUUUGGUAUCCUGUUCCUACUGGAUGAUGUUCCUCAUCUGAUGACUCCAC
Pundamilia nyererei is the source of this 287-nucleotide long non-coding RNA. RefSeq lists it as uncharacterized. The transcript is spliced from 3 exons. The record is from RefSeq and is a predicted model, not a curated record. Lineage: Eukaryota; Metazoa; Chordata; Actinopteri; Cichliformes; Cichlidae.